RNAcentral lists this ribosomal RNA (793 nucleotides) under uncultured Methanocellaceae archaeon. Its description in RNAcentral is "bacterial SSU rRNA". It matches the Rfam family "Archaeal small subunit ribosomal RNA", at positions 85 to 879 of the family's 1478-position model. Lineage: Archaea; Methanobacteriati; Methanobacteriota; Methanomicrobia; Methanocellales; Methanocellaceae. The record is from RNAcentral.
ACGGCUCAGUAACACGUGGACAACCUGCCCAAAGGUCCGGGAUAACCCCGGGAAACUGGGGAUAAUACCGGAUAAAUCACAAAUACUGGAAGGUUUUGUGGUUGAAACUUCCGGGGCCUUUGGAUGGGUCUGCGGCGGAUUAGGUUGUUGCCGGUGUAACGUACCGUCAAGCCUGUAAUCCGUACGGGUUGUGGGAGCAAGAGCCCGGAGAUGGAUUCUGAGACACGAAUCCAGGCCCUACGGGGCGCAGCAGGCGCGAAAACUCUACAAUGCAGGCAACUGCGAUAGGGGAACAUCGAGUGAUACUCAUAUUGGGUGUCUGUCCCACCGUCUAAAAAACGGUGGUUAGCAAGGGCCGGGCAAGACCGGUGCCAGCCGCCGCGGUAAUACCGGCGGCUCGAGUGGUGGCCGAUAUUAUUGAGUCUAAAGGGUCCGUAGCCGGCUUUGCAAGUCUUUUGGGAAAUCCAGCGGCUUAACCGUUGGUCGUCCGGGAGAUACUACAUUGCUUGGGACUGGGAGAGGUAGGAGGUACUCAGGGGGUAGGAGUGAAAUCCUGUAAUCCUUUGGGGACCACCGGUGGCGAAGGCGUCCUACCAGAACAGGUCCGACGGUGAGGGACGAAAGCUAGGGGCACGAACCGGAUUAGAUACCCGGGUAGUCCUAGCCGUAAACGAUGCUCGCUAGGUGUCACAACAAUCGUGAAUUGUUGUGGUGCCGUAGGGAAGCCGUGAAGCGAGCCACUUGGGAAGUACGACCGCAAGGUUGAAACUUAAAGGAAUUGGCGGGGGAGCAC